This 762-nucleotide long non-coding RNA is filed under the name Homo sapiens (human). RNAcentral describes it as "HSALNT0236365". The record is from RNAcentral. Lineage: Eukaryota; Metazoa; Chordata; Mammalia; Primates; Hominidae.
GCAAUUCUCCUGCUUCAGCCUCCCAAGUAGCUGGGAUUACAGGCAUGCACCACCAUGCCUGGCUAAUUUUGUAUUUUUAGUAGAGACGGGGUUUCUCCAUAUUGGUCAGGCUGGCCUGGAACUCUCAACCUUAGGUGAUCCGCCUGCCUUGGCCUUCCAAAGUGCUGGGAUUACAGGUGUAAGCCACUGGGCCUGGCCCAUUUUAUACAUUUUUAAUGUGUAUUCUUGUUUUUGGAAAAUGUGAACAGAGUACUAUUAAACUCUUUUAGCGUCGGUGUAGCAAGGAGGUAAAGAAACAAACAACAAAACAAACAAAAAAUCCCUCUUUGUGAAAUAGGAUUGAAUAUCGUUGGAUUGAGCACUUACCAAGCAACUGUGCCAGGGUUUGUGUCCUUCAUUUAAUUCUUACAAGCCUGAGUGUUCCGUAUUUUAACUUUAUAGGUGAACAAAUAGAAGCUGAGGGUGAAGGACCUACAGCUGUCACCUUCAUCUCUUCUCAACACUGCCAGAUGUCUCCUUGGAUCUCCCAGACAGACAACAAGGGGCAUCUCUGGUUUCUCGGUGCCCGCUAGAAACCUAGGGUCAUUUCAAGGCAUUAUGCAAAUGAGAAGCUUUCCUUCUCUUCACCUCAUCUCCUGAUCUGCACAAAAAUGACUGUAGGACCCACUGUAGGUACCAAUGUAGGCACCAAUCCUCAGUUUACCACCUGCUCUCUACUUGCUUCCCUGCCAUAACUUUCUAAAAGGGAUGUGAGCCAUGUUU